UUACACUGGAAGUAGUUUACGACAAAGAGUUUUCUAUGGAUAAUAAUUGCAAUUAAAAAUAAUCGUGCACAUCCCGAAAAAUACUUUGCAAUUCGAAGGAUUUCAACUGGGAGGCUGUUACGAAUGCAGAUCUUAAAAUCAUAUCGCAAUAGUGUCUCGAGACAUCGUUGUUUUUUUCCUCUUAUUGGCGUUUUCACACACUUUGGUGCGAAUAAUUGGUAUGCUGUUGUAGAACAGAUUCUCGGGGAUCCGCGAACGUCCACGAUUUCCUGAACCGUUAGAAAAAUUUUCUGCACCCAUGCUGGAGAGGUCUCGAAUCGCUCGAUGGUCGAUUGAUUAUGAAUCGCGCGUUGCGAAUCGUCUGGCAAAUGGCAUCGCGAAAGGAGGCUAGUGUAUUUAGUACUUCGUGAGGCCAUGAAACCGUAAUGCCAUGAAUUUUUUUUUUUCUGUUAAUUCUGUUCAAUUAUUGAAUAAAUUACUAUUUAUAAUUCGUUCCUAUAUGUAAUAUUUAUGAAAUUACGAUUGAUCGAUCUCGUUUAUUUUCCAUCAGAAUUUUGUAAAUUAAGUUGAAUUUGGGAAAAGUUAUUGAUAGUAAAUGAUAAGACAAGUGAAUUACUAUAUAUGAGCCAAAAUUUCACUAGAUUUAUCAAAAAAGAUUCACAAUCAUAAGUAUUAUCUAUUCAGAAAAGAAAAUAUUCAUAAAAGAAAUAUUAUUAAAAAUUCAGAAACAGGGUUAAGUCGAACGCGGUUGACGAGUGAUGAGUCGCCAUUUAGUCAAAGGAGGAGAACGAUCCUUCGAAUAAAAUUGCUAGAUGUAUAAUCUGGUUGGAAGACAUGAAAUAAUACAGGACGGGUACACAAACGAGGACAGUUAACUGCAAGCUGCAGCAAAUUCCACAAUUGCUCUUUUAUCAUGAUCUUCAGAGUACCAGGCAGAAUUACUUUAUUACAGGGCUCAAUUUGCUUUCAAUUUUCCAGAGUUGCUCGCAUGAGAGAUGUAUGCGAAUGCUUGAGUACGUAAUCCUUUGCUCAAACUCAUUAAACCGUAAUUUUGUUAGGCGAACGUUUUGUUGACAACUACACGCGAAUUAUAAAAAAAAAAAAA
This is a long non-coding RNA of Apis florea (little honeybee), 1105 nucleotides long. The record is from RefSeq and is a predicted model, not a curated record. NCBI's taxonomy places the organism in Eukaryota, Metazoa, Arthropoda, Insecta, Hymenoptera, Apidae.